This 2792-nucleotide long non-coding RNA is filed under the name Mus musculus (house mouse). Its description in RNAcentral is "long non-coding RNA chr4:99223834-99226626". The record is from RNAcentral. Lineage: Eukaryota; Metazoa; Chordata; Mammalia; Rodentia; Muridae.
UUUUUGCAGAAAAGCUAUUAAGAGGUCAAAAUUAAUGCUUUAGAAGAGUAAGAAAUAUGUCUGUCAGGUUUAAUAUGAAUAUAUCUAUAAACCUGGCAACCAAUGAAAGCUCAGCCUGUGGAAAGACUGGUCUGUGUUUGGCAUUCUGUACUUCUUAAAACAUGUAUUUAUUCUGUGGGAGUUGUGGGUGUGCCCAGGGCAUAGGACAACCUGCAGGAAUUGGUUCUUGCCUCCCAUCAUUCCGAAGGCAGUGGACCACAGGUUGUCAGGCUCGGGGCUAGUGCCUUCCUGCUUAGCCAGAGAUUGUCAUCUAACCAGGUUAAACACUCUCUGACUACCUUACGCUUCUACUCGCUGUCAUCAGUUUCCCGGCCAGAACACAUGCUCAGGGAGACCAAGUCUUGUGUUUUCCUAGUGUUGUUUCCAGGGUCCAUGAGUAUGAAAUUUUGAACUUGUUGGUGCUUUGAUGGUGAUAACGGAGACAGAUGACCAACCAGCGGAGGGAUGGGAUUAGAGUCAAUGUUUAUACAGCCGCCUUUAUAAUGUUUAAUACAUAUGCAUUCAUUGUGUUUCUCCAAGUUUACAAUUCUGACGUGAUUGAUAAGCAGACUGACUCCGUGACAGCUGGAGAUGCACGUGACAAGGCUGUCAUUAUUUUAGUUCCUGUUAGACUCGGUGGAGAAAGGACCAAUACCGACUAUCUGGAGUUUGUGAAGGUAAGAGGGGCUCAGUUCUCCUUGUUUUUAUGUUCAAGGCAGUAGUACCUAACAUAAAAUAAAAAAUAGAGAAGCGUUGCAGUCUCUUCUCCACAAGUAAGUCGUGACCCCACAGCUAUACAUUGUGAAGUUUGGCAUCAGGCAUUUUAAAUUUCAGCACUGAGAGAUCAUGUGUGAGUCGGAAGAGCAUCUUUCUAUGACGGUGUGAAAAGCCUUCCAGUCUACACUAAUUGAUGGCGUGCAGGAGAGGGGUUUGCAAUAUGGCUACUACUCUAGGAUCCUUUUCUGAUUAGAAAUAUAUUUAUCUUAGUUAUUCCUAAAACUAACACUAAACCAUGUCAAACUAACCAUCAAAACACACUUUUAAAAUCGCUACUGUAUUUCAUAACUUAUUAUUGUGACACUGUGGUGCCAGAGAGGAACUGCUUAUAUAAGCAGAAGUGAGGUAGUAUGGCGGGCCCCACUUCCCUUUCUUAAGAAGUCUCUUCAAUCCCAUAGCAUAUAGUUGUGUUUCUUGACCUAAAAGACCCUGUCUUGUGUUAGACACUAAGACCUUCAGUUUUAAAGCAAUACUGAGUAUUUGGUUAAGUUUGUAUCUUUACUAUUAUUUCAGCUUUAAUAAAAUGACUUUUCUUCUUGCUGUGAUGGAACACUUGGCAGAAUAAACUUUAGGGAGUUGAAGUUUGUUUUGAUUCACAGUGCAGAGGUGUUGAGUCCUUAGCCUGCAGGUGACAUGUAGCCCAGGGAAGCUAUGAAUGCUAACCAAGCAAGACUGGAAGCUUACUUAAGACACUAUGAGAUUUUUUUUUUCCCUUUUCUUUUUGCUUUGGUAACUGGAUUGCGUGGUCCUUUAGUGUGAACUUUGGUGGCGACAAUGUUGUGUUGCGAUGUCACGCAGAACAGAUGUGGCUGCACACAAUCUUCUACUUGCAUGUCUGUAAUGUCUUCCAAUUGCAGACAGUCCGAUUACAGCACCAGACGAUGCAUGUGCUUGUGGCGACUGGAAGAGUGCAACCUGAGUCGCCAGUAACACUUUAAACAACCACUGCAGAUAGCAGGCCUUUAGUGUUACCCAGAAGACGGAGUGGUAUUCUUACUCAGUGAUCAAGGUUGCGUCCACUCCUCAGCUGUGUCUCCUGCCCUGCCCACCAGGCUUCCCAGCUGGCUUCCCUUUGCACUACACCAGCACCUGGGAUACAGAAGGACCCUGACCUUGCUUCCUACUUUCCUACCAGUUACCUUUUAUGGUCAGAGUAAAUAUAGUCCCCUCCGUGUUACUGUGUCUAAGUCCUAGCACUGCUUUGACAGUGUCUCAAAGGAAAACAGAACUGGGGCUAGGGAGACAGGUGGCUUAGCUAGUCAAGUCCCACGAGGACCCCAGUUUGAACCCUCAGUGCCCACAGAAAGGUUCCUGAACCCCAGUACUGGGGAUGUGGACUUGGGCUUGAUGGCCAGGCAGCCUAGCCAGUCAGCAAGUCAGGAACCUAGAACCGUUCAAAUAUUAUGAGGGUUUGUAAGCAUAGACUACAACCAUUAGUUAUCAAAGGGAUAUAUGUAUUUAUUGAUUUGAAAAUUGUUCAUGGCAUAAUGAAUGCCAAAAAAGAUCAAGUAGCAUGGGGCUGGAGAGAUGGUUUAGUGGUUAGGAACACUGACUGCUUUACCAGAGAACCCAGGCUCGGUUCCCAGCUCCCCCAUCAAGCGGCUCACAAUUUUCUGUACCUCCAGCCCUUGGAGUCUAAUGUCCUCCGGCUUUUGUAGGCAACUACACAGAUACAGUGCACAUAAGCUUACACAGGCAUACGUAUACACGUAGAUUUUUUUUUUAAAUCCAGAAAAAGAAAGUACCAUAUCCAAUGUUUAGCCACAUAAAAUUGUACUAGUAAGUCUGUGUAUGUAACAUUGGCAGAUGUCAAGGAGAUAGUCCCCCACAUUUUAAUAAUAACGAGCUCUAAGCUGGGUGUGGUGGCACACACCUGUAAUGCCAGCAUCUGGGAAAGGGGAGGGACAGGUUAGUUCAGGGUCAUUCUCUGCUAUGUAGUAAGCUUGUGGCUGUCCUGGACUGCAUGAGACAUUGUU